RNAcentral lists this unclassified non-coding RNA (613 nucleotides) under Hevea brasiliensis (rubber tree). The record is from RNAcentral. Lineage: Eukaryota; Viridiplantae; Streptophyta; Magnoliopsida; Malpighiales; Euphorbiaceae.
UAAGUUUUGUUCUGCAUUUCCGUCCCAUUUUCUUGUAAUACGGAACUGCAUAGCAAUACUUAUCAAAUAUUUAUCUAUCUAAAGAUUGUAAUUCUUUUCCAGUACUCAACUGUUAGGUUGUGUCAAUUAAUCGUAAUCCCAGCUCAAAAUCAGUAGAUGAUACAAUUGUCUGAGCAAGUGCACUGCUGCUACCAGUUGAGAACGCUGCUACUCUCUACUGCUCUUUUGUUUUUUUGGAUGUUGCUUUCACAAGUAAUUUGUCAACCCCAGUUUUCUAUACUCUUUCAUUUGCUAUGUAUGUUAUUAAAAGAUGAUUUAAGCAUAUAAGCUCCUUCAUCUUUUAAUAACAUACAUAGCAAAUGAAAGAGUAUAGAAAACUGGGGUUGACAAAUUACUUGUGAAAGCAACAUCCAAAAAAACAAAAGAGCAGUAGAGAGUAGCAGCGUUCUCAACUGGUAGCAGCAGUGCACUUGCUCAGACAAUUGUAUCAUCUACUGAUUUUGAGCUGGGAUUACGAUUAAUUGACACAACCUAACAGUUGAGUACUGGAAAAGAAUUACAAUCUUUAGAUAGAUAAAUAUUUGAUAAGUAUUGCUAUGCAGCUCCGUAUUAC